Molecule: ribosomal RNA, 550 nt
Filed under: uncultured bacterium
Lineage: Bacteria
Description: bacterial SSU rRNA
Rfam family: Bacterial small subunit ribosomal RNA
Source: RNAcentral
UAGGGAAUCUUCGGCAAUGGGGGCAACCCUGACCGAGCAACGCCGCGUGAGUGAAGAAGGUUUUCGGAUCGUAAAGCUCUGUUGUAAGAGAAGAACGUGUGUGAGAGUGGAAAGUUCACACAGUGACGGUAACUUACCAGAAAGGGACGGCUAACUACGUGCCAGCAGCCGCGGUAAUACGUAGGUCCCGAGCGUUGUCCGGAUUUAUUGGGCGUAAAGCGAGCGCAGGCGGUUUAAUAAGUCUGAAGUUAAAGGCAGUGGCUUAACCAUUGUUCGCUUUGGAAACUGUUAAACUUGAGUGCAGAAGGGGAGAGUGGAAUUCCAUGUGUAGCGGUGAAAUGCGUAGAUAUAUGGAGGAACACCGGUGGCGAAAGCGGCUCUCUGGUCUGUAACUGACGCUGAGGCUCGAAAGCGUGGGGAGCAAACAGGAUUAGAUACCCUGGUAGUCCACGCCGUAAACGAUGAGUGCUAGGUGUUAGGCCCUUUCCGGGGCUUAGUGCCGCAGCUAACGCAUUAAGCACUCCGCCUGGGGAGUACGACCGCAAGGUUG